Non-coding RNA from Apis mellifera (honey bee), 80 nucleotides. The record is from RefSeq and is marked provisional. NCBI's taxonomy places the organism in Eukaryota, Metazoa, Arthropoda, Insecta, Hymenoptera, Apidae.
CCUGGCGGUCCAUUAGCAGUCAUAUGUCCUGGACCAGGUGGACCACCUGAAGCCAUAUGACCUGGUCCUGGUGGCCCAGU